AGCGUACACGGUGGAUGCCCUGGCAGUCAGAGGCGAUGAAGGACGUGCUAAUCUGCGAUAAGCGUCGGUGAGGUGAUAUGAACCGUUAUAACCGGCGAUUUCCGAAUGGGGAAACCCAGUGUGUUUCGACACACUAUCAUUAACUGAAUCCAUAGGUUAAUGAGGCGAACCGGGGGAACUGAAACAUCUAAGUACCCCGAGGAAAAGAAAUCAACCGAGAUUCCCCCAGUAGCGGCGAGCGAACGGGGAGGAGCCCAGAGCCUGAAUCAGUGUGUGUGUUAGUGGAAGCGUCUGGAAAGGCGCGCGAUACAGGGUGACAGCCCCGUACACAAAAAUGCACAUAUUGUGAGCUCGAUGAGUAGGGCGGGACACGUGGUAUCCUGUCUGAAUAUGGGGGGACCAUCCUCCAAGGCUAAAUACUCCUGACUGACCGAUAGUGAACCAGUACCGUGAGGGAAAGGCGAAAAGAACCCCGGCGAGGGGAGUGAAAAAGAACCUGAAACCGUGUACGUACAAGCAGUGGGAGCCUCUUUAUGGGGUGACUGCGUACCUUUUGUAUAAUGGGUCAGCGACUUAUAUUCUGUAGCAAGGUUAACCGAAUAGGGGAGCCGAAGGGAAACCGAGUCUUAACUGGGCGUUAAGUUGCAGGGUAUAGACCCGAAACCCGGUGAUCUAGCCAUGGGCAGGUUGAAGGUUGGGUAACACUAACUGGAGGACCGAACCGACUAAUGUUGAAAAAUUAGCGGAUGACUUGUGGCUGGGGGUGAAAGGCCAAUCAAACCGGGAGAUAGCUGGUUCUCCCCGAAAGCUAUUUAGGUAGCGCCUCGUGAAUUCAUCUCCGGGGGUAGAGCACUGUUUCGGCAAGGGGGUCAUCCCGACUUACCAACCCGAUGCAAACUGCGAAUACCGGAGAAUGUUAUCACGGGAGACACACGGCGGGUGCUAACGUCCGUCGUGAAGAGGGAAACAACCCAGACCGCCAGCUAAGGUCCCAAAGUCAUGGUUAAGUGGGAAACGAUGUGGGAAGGCCCAGACAGCCAGGAUGUUGGCUUAGAAGCAGCCAUCAUUUAAAGAAAGCGUAAUAGCUCACUGGUCGAGUCGGCCUGCGCGGAAGAUGUAACGGGGCUAAACCAUGCACCGAAGCUGCGGCAGCGACACUAUGUGUUGUUGGGUAGGGGAGCGUUCUGUAAGCCUGUGAAGGUGGCCUGUGAGGGUUGCUGGAGGUAUCAGAAGUGCGAAUGCUGACAUAAGUAACGAUAAAGCGGGUGAAAAGCCCGCUCGCCGGAAGACCAAGGGUUCCUGUCCAACGUUAAUCGGGGCAGGGUGAGUCGACCCCUAAGGCGAGGCCGAAAGGCGUAGUCGAUGGGAAACAGGUUAAUAUUCCUGUACUUGGUGUUACUGCGAAGGGGGGACGGAGAAGGCUAUGUUGGCCGGGCGACGGUUGUCCCGGUUUAAGCGUGUAGGCUGGUUUUCCAGGCAAAUCCGGAAAACCAAGGCUGAGGCGUGAUGACGAGGCACUACGGUGCUGAAGCGACAAAUGCCCUGCUUCCAGGAAAAGCCUCUAAGCAUCAGGUAACAUCAAAUCGUACCCCAAACCGACACAGGUGGUCAGGUAGAGAAUACCAAGGCGCUUGAGAGAACUCGGGUGAAGGAACUAGGCAAAAUGGUGCCGUAACUUCGGGAGAAGGCACGCUGAUAUGUAGGUGAAGCGACUUGCUCGUGGAGCUGAAAUCAGUCGAAGAUACCAGCUGGCUGCAACUGUUUAUUAAAAACACAGCACUGUGCAAACACGAAAGUGGACGUAUACGGUGUGACGCCUGCCCGGUGCCGGAAGGUUAAUUGAUGGGGUUAGCGGUAACGCGAAGCUCUUGAUCGAAGCCCCGGUAAACGGCGGCCGUAACUAUAACGGUCCUAAGGUAGCGAAAUUCCUUGUCGGGUAAGUUCCGACCUGCACGAAUGGCGUAAUGAUGGCCAGGCUGUCUCCACCCGAGACUCAGUGAAAUUGAACUCGCUGUGAAGAUGCAGUGUACCCGCGGCAAGACGGAAAGACCCCGUGAACCUUUACUAUAGCUUGACACUGAACAUUGAGCCUUGAUGUGUAGGAUAGGUGGGAGGCUUUGAAGUGUGGACGCCAGUCUGCAUGGAGCCGACCUUGAAAUACCACCCUUUAAUGUUUGAUGUUCUAACGUUGGCCCGUAAUCCGGGUUGCGGACAGUGUCUGGUGGGUAGUUUGACUGGGGCGGUCUCCUCCUAAAGAGUAACGGAGGAGCACGAAGGUUGGCUAAUCCUGGUCGGACAUCAGGAGGUUAGUGCAAUGGCAUAAGCCAGCUUGACUGCGAGCGUGACGGCGCGAGCAGGUGCGAAAGCAGGUCAUAGUGAUCCGGUGGUUCUGAAUGGAAGGGCCAUCGCUCAACGGAUAAAA
This 2422-nucleotide ribosomal RNA is filed under the name metagenome. RNAcentral describes it as "bacterial LSU rRNA". It matches the Rfam family "Bacterial large subunit ribosomal RNA", at positions 14 to 2461 of the family's 2925-position model. The record is from RNAcentral.